This 217-nucleotide unclassified non-coding RNA is filed under the name Hevea brasiliensis (rubber tree). Lineage: Eukaryota; Viridiplantae; Streptophyta; Magnoliopsida; Malpighiales; Euphorbiaceae. The record is from RNAcentral.
AUCUCUUGCAAAUGCACCUCCUGAGCAGCAAAGGCUGAUGCUUGGUGAAAGCCUGUACCCACUGGUGGAACAAUUGGAACACGAUCAUGCAGCUAAAGUGACUGGGAUGCUCCUGGAGAUGGACCAGACCGAAGUCCUACAUCUGCUGGAAGAACCAGAUGCUCUGAAGGCUAAAGUCACAGAAGCCAUGGAGGUUUUGAAGACUGUUAUUCAGCAG